RNAcentral lists this ribosomal RNA (253 nucleotides) under uncultured bacterium. RNAcentral describes it as "partial 16S ribosomal RNA". It matches the Rfam family "Bacterial small subunit ribosomal RNA", at positions 524 to 776 of the family's 1533-position model. The record is from RNAcentral.
UACGGAGGGUGCGAGCGUUAAUCGGAAUUACUGGGCGUAAAGCGCGCGCAGGCGGAAUAACAAGUCAGAUGUGAAAUCUCGGGGCUCAACCCCGAAACUGCGUCUGAAACUGUUGUUCUAGAGUGUCGGAGAGGAAUGGAGAAUUUCCUGUGUAGGGGUAAAAUCCGUAGAGAUAGGAAGGAAUACCUGAGGCGAAGGCGCCAUUCUGGACGACAACUGACGCUGAGGCGCGAAAGCGUGGGGAGCAAACAGG